UGGUUAAAAAUUGACUAUAAAGGGCAAUAACUCCUUAAGGGGUCAACUGACAAUUUUGGUCAAGUUGACUUAUUUGUAGAUCUUACUUUGCUGAACAUUAUUGCUGUUUACAGUUUAUCUCUAUCUAUAAUAAUAUUCAAGAUAAUAACCAAUAAAAUGCUCCGCUGGGGCGCAGCUUGAUACGACCGCAGAGGUCGAACCCUGAACAGUUGGGGCAAGUAUGGACACAACAUUCAAGCUUGAUACAGCUCUGAAUUUGGAUUGUUAUUAAAUAUUUGACACAGCAUAGGUUUCUGACACAGAAAGAAUGUGGUCUAAGAACUUCAAUUUUUUUAAUUUACCUAUUAUGGUCCAAUGUCCAAAAUCAAAAUACAUGGUUAGAUUCAGCAUAUCAAAGAACCCCAUAUAUUCAAUUUUUGUUAAAAUCAAACAAAGUUUAAUUUUGGACCCCAACUUGGACAAACUUGAAAACUUGGCCCAUAUUCAAAAAUCUAAACACAUGUUUAGAUUCAGCAUAUCAAAGAACCCCAAGAAUUCAAUUUUUGCUAAAAUCAAACUAUGUUUAAUUUUGGACCCUUUGGACCUUAAUGUAGACCAAUUUAAAAAACCAGACUUAAAAUUAAAAAUCUAAAUACACGGUUAGAUUUGGAAUAUCAAAGAACCCCAAUAAUUCAAUUUUUGAUGAAAUCAAACAAAGUUUAAUUUUGGACCCUUUUGACCUCAAUAUGAACCAAUUUGAUAGCGGGGCCCACAAAUAAAAAAUCUAAAUUCAUGGUUAGAUUCAGCAUAUCAAAGAACCCCAUAUAUUCAAUUUUUGUUGAAAUCAAAAAAAGUUUAAUUUUGGACCCCAACUUGGACCAACUUGAAAACUGGGCCCAUAAUCAAAAAUCUAAACACAUGUUUAGAUUCAGCAUAUCAAAGAACCCCAAGAAUUCAAUUUUUGUUAAAAUCAAACUAAGUUUAAUUUUGGAUCCUUUGGACCUCAAUGAAGACCAAUUUAAAAAAAACGGGACCCAAAUUAAAAAUCUAAAAACACGGUUAGAUUUGGCAUAUCAAAGAACCCCAAUAAUUCAAUUUUUGAUGAAAUCAAACAAA
This is a long non-coding RNA of Mytilus californianus (California mussel), 1095 nucleotides long. RefSeq lists it as uncharacterized. The record is from RefSeq and is a predicted model, not a curated record. NCBI's taxonomy places the organism in Eukaryota, Metazoa, Mollusca, Bivalvia, Mytilida, Mytilidae. The transcript is spliced from 2 exons.